GUGCUCUGGGCGCUGGAGGCCCUGGCCAAUCACAGCACCAGAGCUCUCCUGGCUGGCCCCGCCCCCUCGGCUGAAGCCCCCCCACCCUUAGGAGCCUCCUGCAGGAGCGCUGGGGCGCCGUUGGGGGGGUGUGGGCGGCGCUGCCCCCCCUCCUGGCCCACCUGGCCCGGCUGAGGCGGCGCCUGAGCACGCACCUGCAGCGGGGGAGGGGCCAGGGAACCGCCAGGCUGUUCCUGCUCCGGGCCGGGCUCUCGGCCUUCCGGGGCUCCCUGGGCCGGGCGCUGACCCAGCUCCAAAAACCCCAAAAUUCACCCCAAAAACCCCAAAAUUCACCCCAAAAACCGCCCUGGGAACCCCAAAAACACCAAAAACCCCAAAAUUCCUCCCCCAAAAACUCCAAAUCCCCAAAAUUCAGCCCCAAAAUCCCCAAAAUUGGCCCCAAAAUCGGCCCCAAAAUCUCAAAAUUUGGACCCAAAAUCCCCAAAUUUGGCCUCAAAAUUGGAUCCAAAUUGACCCCAAAAUCUCAACAGUUGGCCUCAAAAUCGGCUCUAAAAUCCCCAAAUUUGGCCCCAAAAUCCCCAAAUUUGGACCCAAAAUCUCAAAAUUUGGACCCAAAAUCCCCGAGUUUGGCCCCAAAAUCCCCAAAUUUGUCUCCAAAUUCAGCCCCAAAAUCCCCGAAUUUGGCCCCAAAAUUUCAAAAUUUGGCCCCAAAAUCCCCAAAUUUGGCCCCAAAAUCCCCGAGUUUGGCCCCAAAAUCGCCGAGUUUGGCCCCAGACCCGGCCCUGGAGCGGCUCCGGCAGCGGCUUCGGAGGGGGAGGGGCCGAGUGGUGCGGCUGCAGCGGCGCCUGCGCUUCCUGAGCGCGGCCAGCAGGGGGCGCCGGGCGGCGCUGAGGGCGCUGCAGGAGCAGGUGGGGAGCGCGGCCGGGCGGGGCGGGAUGGACCAGUAUGGACCAGUAUGGACCAGUAUGGACCAGUAUGGACCAGUACGGACCAGUAUGGACCGGUUAGAGACCAGUACGGACCAGUAUGGACCAGUAUGGACCGGUUAGAGACCAGUACGGACCAGUACGGACCAGUAUGGACCAGUACGGACCAGAACGGACCAGUACGGACCAGUACGGACCAGUACGGACCAGUACGGACCAGUAUGGACCAGUAUGGACCAGUAUGGACCAGUAUAGACCAGUACGGACCAGUACGGACCAGAACGGACCAGUACGGACCAGAACGGACCAGUACGGACCAGUAUGGACCAGUACGGACCAGUAUGGACCAGUAUAGACCAGUAUGGACCAGUACGGACCAGUAUAGACCAGUAUGGACCGGUUAGAGACCAGUAUGGACCAGUACGGACCAGUACGGACCAGUACGGACCAGUACGGACCAGUAUGGACCAGUACGGACCAGUAUGGACCGGUUAGAGACCAGUACGGACCAGUAUGGACCAGUACGGACCAGUACGGACCAGUAUGGACCAGUAUGGACCAGUAAUGACCAGUAAUGGACCAGUACGGACCAGUACGGACCAGUAUGGACCAGUAUGGACCAGUAUGGACCAGUUAGAGACCAGUACGGACCAGUAUGGACCAGUAUAGACCAGUACGGACCAGUACGGACCAGAACGGACCAGUACGGACCAGAACGGACCAGUACGGACCAGUACGGACCAGUACGGACCAGUACGGACCAGUAUAGACCAGUAUGGACCAGUAUGGACCGGUUAGAGACCAGUAUGGACCAGUAUGGACCAGUACGGACCAGUACGGACCAGUAUGGACCAGUACGGACCAGUAUGGACCGGUUAGAGACCAGUAUGGACCAGUACGGACCAGUAUGGACCAGUACGGACCAGUACGGACCAGUACGGACCAGUAUGGACCAGUAUGGACCAGUACGGACCAGUAUGGACCGGUUAGAGACCAGUACGGACCAGUACGGACCAGUAUGGACCAGUACGGACCGGUUAGAGACCAGUAUGGACCAGUACGGACCAGUAUAGGCCACUAAGCCCCCCAGUGCCCUCCCAGUCCAUCCCAGUAUAUCCCAGUAUGACCCCAGUUCCCCUAGUUUAUCCCAGUUUGACUCCAGCUGUGUUCCCAGUGCUCCCAGUCCAUCCCAGUAUAACCCAGUCCCUCCCAGUUCCCUCCCAGUUCAUCCCAGUUUGACUCCAGCUGUGUUCCCACUGCCUCCCAGUUUAUCCCAGUUUAUCCCAGUAUGUCCCAGUAUGUCCCAGUUUGAUCCCAGUCCCUCCCAGUGGCCCCAGUUCACCCUCCCAGUACAAACCAGUUCACCCAGUCAAUUGCCUUCCACUCAUCCCAGUCCCUCCCAGUUUGAGUCCAGCUGUGUUCCCAGUCCGUCCCAGUUUGUCCCAGUUUGAUCCCAGUCCCUCCCAGUUCCUCCCAGUAUAUCCCAGUUCCCGACCAUUCUGAUUGGCCGCAGGUUGUGGGCGUGGUGCGGGCGGGGCCGGGCUCGGCCCCUCCCCCUCUGGAGGGGGCGUGGCUCCGUCGCCGGCAGCUGUUAGUGGGAGCGGAGCUCCGCCCCCCGCCACAGGCCACGCCCCCUCUGCAGGGACUGGCCCGGGAGAUGGGCGUGGCACAGGUGAGGGAGGGGCUUCAAGGGGGAGGGGCUUAAAUGGGGAAGGGGAGGAGCUUAGAGGUGAGAGAUGGGAGGGGCUUAAAUGGGAGGAGGGGCUUAGAGAAGGGU
Camarhynchus parvulus is the source of this 2703-nucleotide long non-coding RNA. NCBI's taxonomy places the organism in Eukaryota, Metazoa, Chordata, Aves, Passeriformes, Thraupidae. The record is from Ensembl.